CCGACCGGCGCACGGUGAGUAACGCGUAUGCAACUUACCUAUCAGAGGGGGAUAACCCGGCGAAAGUCGGACUAAUACCGCAUGAAGCAGGGGCCCCGCAUGGGGAUAUUUGCUAAAGAUUCAUCGCUGAUAGAUAGGCAUGCGUUCCAUUAGGCAGUUGGCGGGGUAACGGCCCACCAAACCGACGAUGGAUAGGGGUUCUGAGAGGAAGGUCCCCCACAUUGGAACUGAGACACGGUCCAA
Molecule: ribosomal RNA, 243 nt
Filed under: uncultured bacterium
Lineage: Bacteria
Description: partial 16S ribosomal RNA
Rfam family: Bacterial small subunit ribosomal RNA
Source: RNAcentral